Non-coding RNA from Loxodonta africana (African savanna elephant), 120 nucleotides. The record is from Rfam. Lineage: Eukaryota; Metazoa; Chordata; Mammalia; Proboscidea; Elephantidae.
CCCUUUACUCCAUACCACCCUGAACGCACCCAAUCUUGUCUGAUCUCAGAAACUAAGCAGGGUCAAGCCUGGUUAGUACUUGGAUGGGAAACUGCCUGGGAAUACCAUGUGUUAUAGGCU